Molecule: ribosomal RNA, 497 nt
Filed under: uncultured Glomeromycotina
Lineage: Eukaryota; Fungi; Glomeromycota
Description: partial small subunit ribosomal RNA
Rfam family: Eukaryotic small subunit ribosomal RNA
Source: RNAcentral
CCAAUAGCGUAUAUUAAAGUUGUUGCAGUUAAAAAGCUCGUAGUUGAAUUUCAGGCCUGGCUGGACGGUCCGCCCUUCAGGUGAGUACUGUCUGUGGUCGGGUCCUACCUUCUGGCGAAGCGUCAUGGCCUUAACCGGCCGUGGCGGGGAACCAGGACUUUUACUGUGAAAAAAUUAGAGUGUUCAAAGCAGGCAAUCGCUUGGAUACAUUAGCAUGGAAUAAUGGAAUAGGACAAUGGUUCUAUUUGUUGAUUUCUAGGACCGUUGUAAUGAUUAAUAGGGAUAGUUGGGGGCAUUAGUAUUCAAUUGUCAGAGGUGAAAUUCUUGGAUUUAUUGAAGACUAACUACUGCGAAAGCAUUUGCCAAGGAUGUUUUCAUUAAUCAAGAACGAAAGUUAGGGGAUCGAAGACGAUCAGAUACCGUCGUAGUCUUAACCAUAAACUAUGCCGACUAGGAAUCGGGCGAUGUUGAAAAAAUGACGCGCUCGGCACCUCAUG